AGUGAACGCUGGCGGUAGGCCUAACACAUGCAAGUCGAGCGGCAGCACAGUAAUAGCUUGCUCUUACGGGUGGCGAGUGGCGGACGGGUGCGGAAUACAUCGGAAUCUACUUUUUCGUGGGGGAUAACGUAGGGAAACUUACGCUAAUACCGCAUACGACCUACGGGUGAAAGCAUGGGAUCUUCGGACCUUGCGCGAUUGAAUGACCCGAUGUCGGAUUAGCUAGUUGGCGGGGUAAAGGCCCACCAAGGCGACGAUCCGUAGCUGGUCUGAGAGGAUGAUCAGCCACACUGGAACUGAGACACGGUCCAGACUCCUACGGGAGGCAGCAGUGGGGAAUAUUGGACAAAGGGCGCAAGCCUGAUCCAGCCAUACCGCGUGGGUGAAGAAGGUCUUCGGGUUGUAAAGCCCUUUUGUUGGGAAAGAAAAGCAGCAGGUUAAUACCCCGCUGUUCUGACGGUACCCAAAGAAUAAGCACCGGCUAACUUCGUG
This 492-nucleotide ribosomal RNA is filed under the name uncultured bacterium. RNAcentral's name for it is "partial 16S ribosomal RNA". It matches the Rfam family "Bacterial small subunit ribosomal RNA", at positions 29 to 507 of the family's 1533-position model. The record is from RNAcentral.